RNAcentral lists this microRNA precursor (275 nucleotides) under Oryza sativa Japonica Group (Japanese rice). RNAcentral describes it as "MIR821 microRNA precursor family". It matches the Rfam family "MIR821 microRNA precursor family". The record is from Rfam by way of RNAcentral. Lineage: Eukaryota; Viridiplantae; Streptophyta; Magnoliopsida; Poales; Poaceae.
GAUAUCAACUGAAAAAGUCAUCAACAACAAAGUUGAAUAACUCAUCAAGAUCUAAAACUUUUAUUUUGGUCAUUUCUUCAUACGACAAAGUGAUAGUAACAUUGUUCACAAAAUUGACAUAUCUCUUAUCUGGUUUUAUAAACUAUAAUACAUAUAUGUAAAAUUUGUGAAUAAUAUUACUAACAUUUCGUCAGAUGAAGAAAUAACAAAAAUAAAAGUUUUAGAUCUUGAUGAGUUAUUCAACUUUGUUGUUGAUGACUUUUUCAAUUGAAAUC